RNAcentral lists this RNase P RNA (333 nucleotides) under Gammaproteobacteria bacterium. Its description in RNAcentral is "RNase P RNA component class A". It matches the Rfam family "Bacterial RNase P class A". From Rfam's summary of the family: Ribonuclease P (RNase P) is a ubiquitous endoribonuclease, found in archaea, bacteria and eukarya as well as chloroplasts and mitochondria. Its best characterised activity is the generation of mature 5'-ends of tRNAs by cleaving the 5'-leader elements of precursor-tRNAs. Cellular RNase Ps are ribonucleoproteins. Lineage: Bacteria; Pseudomonadati; Pseudomonadota; Gammaproteobacteria. The record is from RNAcentral.
GAAGUCGGCCAGACAGUCGCCCCGCAAGGGGAGGAAAGUCCGGGCUCCAUAGGGCAAGGCGCCAGGUAACACCUGGGGGGCGUGAGCCUACGGAAAGUGCCACAGAAAAUAUACCGCCUCUUCGGAGGUAAGGGUGAAAUGGUGCGGUAAGAGCGCACCGCGCUGGUGGCAACAUCAGUGGCAGGGUAAACCCCGCCUGGAGCAAGACCAAAUAGGGGAACACAUGGUGCGGCCCGCAUUGUUCCCGGGUAGGUUGCUUGAGGUGCAUGGUGACGUGCAUCCCAGAUGAAUGACUGUUCGCGACAGAACCCGGCUUAUCGGCCGACUUCAUUU